UCUUCCGAUCUUAAGCGUGUAGGUGUGUGUUCCAGGUAAAUCCGGUUCACUUUAACACUGAGGCGUGAUGACGAGGCACUACGGUGCUGAAGCAACAAAUGCCCUGCUUCCAGGAAAAGCCUCUAAGCAUCAGGUAACAUCAAAUCGUACCCCAAACCGACACAGGUGGUCAGGUAGAGAAUACCAAGGCGCUUGAGAGAACUCGGGUGAAGGAACUAGGCAAAAUGGUGCCGUAACUUCGGGAGAAGGCACGCUGACACGUAGGUGAAGUGAUUUACUCAUGGAGCUGAAGUCAGUCGAAGAUACCAGCUGGCUGCAACUGUUUAUUAAAAACACAGCACUGUGCAAACACGAAAGUGGACGUAUACGGUGUGACGCCUGCCCGGUGCCGGAAGGUUAAUUGAUGGGGUCAGCGCAAGCGAAGCUCCUGAUCGAAGCCCCGGUAAACGGCGGCCGUAACUAUAACGGUCCUAAGGUAGCGAAAUUCCUUGUCGGGUAAGUUCCGACCUGCACGAAUGGCGUAAUGAUGGCCAGGCUGUCUCCACCCGAGACUCAGUGAAAUUGAACUCGCUGUGAAGAUGCAGUGUACCCGCGGCAAGACGGAAAGACCCCGUGAACCUUUACUAUAGCUUGACACUGAACAUUGAGCCUUGAUGUGUAGGAUAGGUGGGAGGCUUUGAAGUGUGGACGCCAGUCUGCAUGGAGCCGACCUUGAAAUACCACCCUUUAAUGUUUGAUGUUCUAACGUGGACCCGUGAUCCGGGUUGCGGACAGUGUCUGGUGGGUAGUUUGACUGGGGCGGUCUCCUCCUAAAGAGUAACGGAGGAGCACGAAGGUUGGCUAAUCCUGGUCGGACAUCAGGAGGUUAGUGCAAUGGCAUAAGCCAGCUUGACUGCGAGCGUGACGGCGCGAGCAGGUGCGAAAGCAGGUCAUAGUGAUCCGGUGGUUCUGAAUGGAAGGGCCAUCGCUCAACGGAUAAAAGGUACUCCGGGGAUAACAGGCUGAUACCGCCCAAGAGUUCAUAUCGACGGCGGUGUUUGGCACCUCGAUGUCGGCUCAUCACAUCCUGGGGCUGAAGUAGGUCCCAAGGGUAUGGCUGUUCGCCAUUUAAAGUGGUACGCGAGCUGGGUUUAGAACGUCGUGAGACAGUUCGGUCCCUAUCUGCCGUGGGCGCUGGAGAACUGAGGGGGGCUGCUCCUAGUACGAGAGGACCGGAGUGGACGCAUCACUGGUGUUCGGGUUGUCAUGCCAAUGGCACUGCCCGGUAGCUAAAUGCGGAAGAGAUAAGUGCUGAAAGCAUCUAAGCACGAAACUUGCCCCGAGAUGAGUUCUCCCUGAGACUUAGAGUCUCCUGAAGGAACGUUGAAGACGACGACGUUGAUAGGCCGGGUGUGUAAGCGCAGCGAUGCGUUGAGCUAACCGGUACUAAUGAACCGUGAGGCUUAACCUU
This 1450-nucleotide ribosomal RNA is filed under the name Salmonella enterica subsp. enterica serovar Anatum. RNAcentral's name for it is "bacterial LSU rRNA". It matches the Rfam family "Bacterial large subunit ribosomal RNA", at positions 1502 to 2925 of the family's 2925-position model. The record is from RNAcentral. Lineage: Bacteria; Pseudomonadati; Pseudomonadota; Gammaproteobacteria; Enterobacterales; Enterobacteriaceae.